UAUUUUCCUUUCACCAAUUAACUGAGCAUCAGUUUAAGCGGAUCCAAUUCCUUUUGAUGAUUGAGUUACAUAGUGGUCAAUUCUGCGGGAAAGGAGGUCUUUAUCUAAUGGAGAUAUGCGGAACAGAACAAUAUGAUUAUUUCCUUCACCAACAUUGUUCAAUACUUUCAUGAUAGUUUGAGGAAGACAGAAGAAAACUGAGGUAUCUUUUUAAUCCCAGUGUCUUUAGCAGUUAAGAAUGACGAAAACGAGUAAAAAGCAGGGUGCAAAGGAGUGGUACAUACAAGUAGCAGAUUCAGAACAACGUUACACAUGGUUUGAUGAUUUGAAGGGCAGGUUUGAAUUUUUCAAGGCGGAAGACGAUAAGCCAGAUGAUAAGUCAGGAAAGCUUUCUUCUGUUUCCAUAAACAAAGUGCCCCUGUAUCUCAAGGGCUUAAGAAGAGAUGCAUAUCUUCCUCGGGUGGUCUCUUUGGGCCUUUAUUAUCGUAGGAUAUCUCAACCACUCUCUCAGAGAGAAUUAUGUAAAGGUGUUCCAAAAAUGUUUGUGGUCAGAAUUUUCAGCUUUGUGGCAAUUAAGUUCAAAAACAAGCAUUCUUAUAUAGGUUUUUGUAGAAUUUAGUUAACAAUAAAUAUAGUAGUUACUGUCAUCAA
This is a long non-coding RNA of Cryptomeria japonica (Japanese cedar), 651 nucleotides long. RefSeq lists it as uncharacterized. The transcript is spliced from 2 exons. The record is from RefSeq and is a predicted model, not a curated record. NCBI's taxonomy places the organism in Eukaryota, Viridiplantae, Streptophyta, Pinopsida, Cupressales, Cupressaceae.